Molecule: ribosomal RNA, 1515 nt
Filed under: Triticum aestivum (bread wheat)
Lineage: Eukaryota; Viridiplantae; Streptophyta; Magnoliopsida; Poales; Poaceae
Description: partial small subunit ribosomal RNA
Source: RNAcentral
AUGAAGGCUUCCAAACAGAGCUUCACAGGUCCAUCCUCUCCCCGCGCCAAAGAUAGUCCAACUCCAACGCAGAUGGAGAAGACGGUGGUUCUGUACCCCGGCCUCACCGUGAGCCACUUCGUCCCCAUGAUGCGGCUCGCCGGCUCCCUCCUCGAGCACGGCUACGCCGUCUCCGUCGCGAUGAUCAUCGACCCCGCCGUCAUGGGGGACACAGCGUUCGCGGCAGCCAUCGGCCGCGCCGCCGCCGCCAUGCCGUCCGUCCGCUUCCACACUUUCCCGCCUGUGGAGGACCCGCCCAGGCUAGCCCCCGGCCCGCAGUUCCUCGCGAGCUACUUCCACCUCGUGCGCCGCUACAACGACCGCCUCCACGACUUCCUCUGCUCCUCCACGCGCGUCCACGCCGUGGUCGUGGACUCGAUGUCAGUGUCAGCUGAUGCACUGGAGGUCACCAAGAGGCUCGGGAUCCCAGGCUACGUCAUGUUCACCUCCGGCGCCGCCGCCCUCGCGGCCUUCGCCCAGCUUCCUUAUGUCCUCGGGGAGGGCGGCCGAAAAAGCUUCAAGGAGCUGGGCGACGCCCCUGUCGAGUUCCUUGGCCUUCCGCCGGUUCCGGCUUCGCACCUGUUCGCCGAGGUGCUCGAGGACCCGGAGGGCGACACGUACAAGACGGCGAUGGCCGGGCUGUCCCGGAUCCCGGACACCGAUGGCUUCCUGGUGAACACGGUCGAGUCGUUGGAGGCUCGCGCGGUGGACGCUCUCAGGGACCCUCGGUGCCUCCCCGCUGGCCGGGUCAUGCCCCCGGUGUACUGCGUCGGACUCGGGCCAUUCCUCGGCGGCAUCGAGAGCGAGGCGGACGAGCGGCACGAGUGUCUCGCCUGGCUAGACGCGCAGCCGGACCGCAGCGUGGUGUUCCUCUGCUUCGGGAGCACAGGCGCAGCGAACCACUCUGCGGAGCAGCUCAAGGAGAUCGCCACCGGCCUGGAGAAGUCCGGCCACCGGUUCCUGUGGGUCGUGCGAGCGCCCCACGGCGGCGACCCGGACCUCGAUGCGCUCCUCCCGGACGGGUUCCUGGAGCGCACCGGCAGCCGCGGCCGCGUCGUCAAGCAGUGGGCGCCGCAGGCCGAGGUGCUCCGCCACGGGGCCACCGGCGCGUUCGUGACGCACUGCGGGUGGAACUCGGUGCUGGAGGGCGUGGCGGCGGGCGUGCCGAUGCUGUGCUGGCCGCUCCACGCGGAGCAGAAAAUGAACAAGCUGCUGAUGGUGGGGGAGAUGGGGCUCGCAGCGGAGAUGGUCGGGUGGCAGCGUGGGCUGGUGGAGGCCGCCGAGGUGGAGCGCAAGGUGAGGCUGGUCAUGGAGUCCGAGGAGGGCAGGCAGCUCAGGGCGCGCGCGGCGCAGCACCAGGAGGGCGCGGCCGCGGCCUGGAGCGACGGCGGGUCGUCGCGCGCGGCGCUGGCUUUGUUCUUGUCGGACGUGGACCGCCGGUGGCAGGCUCGGGCUCGCGGCGGGGAAGCUGCGUGA